GACAAACGCUGGCGGCAUGCCUAACACAUGCAAGUCGAACGGACAGAACAGGGAAGCUUUUCGGAGUGGAACUGGAAAGUUAGUGGCGGAUGGGUGAGUAACGCGUGGACAACCUACCUUGUAAAGGGGAAUAACCUCGAGAAAUCGAAGCUAAUACCCCAUAAUAACCUUGCUUCGCAUGAAGUAAGGAGGAAAGGCGGCCUUAGCGCUGUCGAUACAAGAUGGGUCCGCGUCUGAUUAGCUAGUUGGUGAGGUAAAGGCUCACCAAGGCGACGAUCAGUAGCCGGCCUGAGAGGGUGAACGGCCACAUUGGGACUGAGACACGGCCCAGACUCCUACGGGAGGCAGCAGUGGGGAAUCUUCCGCAAUGGGCGAAAGCCUGACGGAGCAAUGCCGCGUGAGUGAAGAAGGCCUUCGGGUUGUAAAACUCUGUCCUUAUCGAAGAGAGAGUGUUGUAGUAACUGACAAUACUAGGACGGUAGAUGAAGAGGAAGCCCCGGCUAACUAUGUG
RNAcentral lists this ribosomal RNA (511 nucleotides) under uncultured bacterium. RNAcentral describes it as "partial 16S ribosomal RNA". It matches the Rfam family "Bacterial small subunit ribosomal RNA", at positions 28 to 507 of the family's 1533-position model. The record is from RNAcentral.